GCUGGCGUAGCUCAAUCGGCAGAGCAAUUGAUUUGUAAUCAAUAGGUUGUAGGUUCGAUUCCCAUCGCCAGCUCCA
This 76-nucleotide transfer RNA is filed under the name Desulfovibrionaceae bacterium. RNAcentral's name for it is "tRNA-Thr". It matches the Rfam family "tRNA". Rfam says of the family: Transfer RNA (tRNA) molecules are approximately 80 nucleotides in length. Their secondary structure includes four short double-helical elements and three loops (D, anti-codon, and T loops). Lineage: Bacteria; Pseudomonadati; Thermodesulfobacteriota; Desulfovibrionia; Desulfovibrionales; Desulfovibrionaceae. The record is from RNAcentral.